UGCAGUCGAACGGAAACCUUCGGGUUUUAGUGGCGAACGGGUGAGUAACACGUAAGCAACCUACCCUAAAGACGAGGAUAACCAUUGGAAACAGUGGCUAAGACUGGAUAGGAAGAUAAAAGGCAUCUUGUAUCUUUUAAAAGACCUAGUUAAUAGGUAUGCUUUAGGAGGGGCUUGCGCCAUAUUAGUUAGUUGGUAGGGUAAUGGCCUACCAAGACGAUGAUGUGUAGCUGGACUGAGAGGUUGAACAGCCACAUUGGGACUGAGACACGGCCCAAACUCCUACGGGAGGCAGCAGUAGGGAAUUUUCGGCAAUGGAGGAAACUCUGACCGAGCAACGCCGCGUGAAUGACGAAGUACUUCGGUAUGUAAAGUUCUUUUAUCGAGGAAGAAAAGCAAAUGGCGAACCAUUUGUUUGCCGGUACUUGAUGAAUAAGCCCCGGCUAAUUAUGUGCCAGCAGCCGCGGUAAGACAUAAGGGGCAAGUGUUAUCCGGAAUUAUUGGGCGUAAAGGGUGCGUAGGCGGUCUAGUAAGUCAGUGGUGUAAUGGCAACGCUUAACGUUGUCCGGCUAUUGAAACUGCUAAACUUGAGUUAGAUAGAGGCGAGUGGAAUUCCAUGUGUAGCGGUAAAAUGCGUAAAUAUAUGGAGGAACACCAGAGGCGUAGGCGGCUCGCUGGGUCUUAACUGACGCUGAGGCACGAAAGCGUGGGGAGCAAACAGGAUUAGAUACCCUGGUAGUCCACGCCGUAAACGAUGAGUACUAAGUGUCGGGUUAAACCGGUACUGAAGUUAACACAUUAAGUACUCCGCCUGAGUAGUACGUACGCAAGUAUGAAACUUAAAGGAAUUGACGGGACUCCGCACAAGCGGUGGAUCAUGUUGUUUAAUUCGAAGAUCCCGAAAACCUUACCAGGUCUUGACAUGUUUUUGCAAAAUGAUAGUAAUAUCGUGGAGGUUACCAGAAACACAGGUGGUGCAUGGUUGUCGUCAGCUCGUGUCGUGAGAUGUUAGGUUAAGUCCUAAAACGAGCGAAACCCUUAUCGUUAGUUGCCAGCACGUUAUGGUGGGGACUUUAACGAGACUGCCAAUGAUAAAUUGGAGGAAGGUGAGGAUCACGUCAAAUCAGCAUGCCCCUUAUGACCUGGGCUACAAACGUGAUACAAUGGCUGUUACAAAGGGUAGCUGAAACGCAAGUUCUUGGCCAAUCCCCAAAAACAGUCCCAGUCCGGAUUGAAGUCUGCAACUCGACUUCAUGAAGUUGGAAUCGCUAGUAAUCGCGAAUCAGCAUGUCGCGGUGAAUACGUUCUCGGGGUUUGUACACACCGCCCGUCAAACCACGAAAGUUGGCAAUACCCCAAAACGGUAGCCUAACUCGUUUAUUCGAGAGGGCGCCGUCUAAGGUAGGGUCGAUGAUUGGGGUUAAGUCGUAACAAGGUAUCCCUACCGGAAGGUGGGGAUGGAUCACCUCCUUUCUAAGGAAACCAAUAAAAUCAAUCAUCUUCAGUUUUGAAAGACUUAGGCAACUAAGUUUUUCUUCGUGACUUCACGAAGGGCCUAUAGCUCAGUUGGUUAGAGCACACGCCUGAUAAGCGUGAGGUCGGUGGUUCAAGUCCAUUUAGGCCCACCAGAGUUAUAGGUUUCGUAAGAACACAAAUUCUUUGAAAAUUAGGUAAAUAAUAGUUAUUUAUCCGGAACAUUAAAGGAAAUAAGAGC
This 1714-nucleotide ribosomal RNA is filed under the name Soybean witches'-broom phytoplasma. RNAcentral describes it as "bacterial SSU rRNA". The stretch from base 1 to 1473 matches the Rfam family "Bacterial small subunit ribosomal RNA". Lineage: Bacteria; Bacillati; Mycoplasmatota; Mollicutes; Acholeplasmatales; Acholeplasmataceae. The record is from RNAcentral.